This 390-nucleotide ribosomal RNA is filed under the name uncultured bacterium. RNAcentral describes it as "bacterial SSU rRNA". It matches the Rfam family "Bacterial small subunit ribosomal RNA", at positions 29 to 410 of the family's 1533-position model. The record is from RNAcentral.
AACGAACGCUGGCGGCGCGCCUAACACAUGCAAGUCGAACGAGAAGCUGUAGCAAUACAGUUGUACAGUGGCGAACGGGUGAGGAAUACAUGGGUGACCUACCCUCGAGUGGGGAAUAACCAGCCGAAAGGUUGGCUAAUACCGCGUACGUUUCCCAGUUUACGGAUUGGGAAGGAAAGCGAUGCCGUGGGUAUCGCGCUCAAGGUUGGGCUCAUGUCCUAUCAGCUUGUUGGGAGGUAACGGCUCACCAAGGCAACGACGGGUAGCUGGUCUGAGAGGACGAUCAGCCACACUGGCACUGCGACACGGGCCAGACUCCUACGGGAGGCAGCAGUGAGGAAUAUUGCGCAAUGGGCGAAAGCCUGACGCAGCGACGCCGCGUGGGGGAGU